This 151-nucleotide non-coding RNA is filed under the name unclassified sequences. RNAcentral describes it as "IMES-3 RNA". It matches the Rfam family "IMES-3 RNA motif". The record is from RNAcentral. RNAcentral also lists the same sequence under 1 other name.
AGGAUAAAAACUGGGGGGUGUUAGAAGUUAGUCACUUAGAAACGGGUCGUCGCAAGAUGGACAAUCUAGGUGAAAAACGGACAAAACCAACUCCGGAUCAAUAAACUGAGAUCGUCCACAACUUUCGAGUUGGAUCGCAGUUAAAGGUAAA